UGAGAAAAAGACCAUAACAGGAAAAUACUGUUAAAGACUUGUGAAAUUUAAAAGCUAAGAAGAGAAAGGACACAGGAGCCAACUGAAAGAGUUCCCAAUGGCCAAAGCUGGGACAAGUUGGGUAAGUAACAUUAAAUUAUAGCCUGAAGUAUAAAAUAGUUAUCCACGAAUCCACACUGCUAUAAAUGAAUAAAUAAAUAAGUAGGGAGAAAGAAACAAAAUCCACGCAGAAUUCCUAAUUAUUUAUGGAGAUGUUGCACCUGAUAAAAGGUAGAACAUAGCUACCCAUUCCUUACAUAUGAGCUAUGCAUAGUGACGUCAUCCUGAAGAAUAUAAUAUGGAAAAGAGGAUUGGGGGAUUAACUUUAUAGUAGAGAAACCCUGACAAAUACUGCCUCAGGCAGGUAGUGAAGGUCAAUAUCAACAGUGGAAGUCGUGUUGGCAGUAUGUACCCUUGACAAGAUGUGAUGAAAG
RNAcentral lists this long non-coding RNA (473 nucleotides) under Homo sapiens (human). Its description in RNAcentral is "non-protein coding lnc-PIK3C2G-2:1". Lineage: Eukaryota; Metazoa; Chordata; Mammalia; Primates; Hominidae. The record is from RNAcentral.